Molecule: ribosomal RNA, 288 nt
Filed under: uncultured bacterium
Lineage: Bacteria
Description: partial 16S ribosomal RNA
Rfam family: Bacterial small subunit ribosomal RNA
Source: RNAcentral
GUGGAUUAGAUACCCUGGUAGUCCACGCCGUAAACGAUGGGCACUAGGUGUAGGGGGUGUCGACUCCCCCUGUGCCGAAGCUAACGCAUUAAGUGCCCCGCCUGGGGAGUACGGCCGCAAGGCUAAAACUCAAAGGAAUUGACGGGGGCCCGCACAAGCAGCGGAGCAUGUGGUUUAAUUGGACGCAACGCCAAGAACCUUACCUGGGCUUGACAUGUUCCUGACCGGCCUGGAAACAGGUCUUCCCUUCGGGGCAGGAUCACAGGUGGUGCACGGUCGUCGUCAACU